RNAcentral lists this transfer RNA (70 nucleotides) under Schistosoma mansoni. The record is from RNAcentral. Lineage: Eukaryota; Metazoa; Platyhelminthes; Trematoda; Strigeidida; Schistosomatidae.
AAGGGCUUCGGCUCGAGACUGGUAGGUCCUGAGUUCGAAUCUCGCGGGUGCGGGAUCGUGGAUGCGCACU